GUGAAUCAUCGAAUUUUUGAACGCAAAUUGCACUCUCUUGGAAGACUAUGCCUGUUUGUGGGUCAGUAUUAAUAAAAAUAGGAGUGUUGCUUCUUUUUGACGCUCCGGCGUCUGGGUUAUCUUAAUAUCCUUUAGGUUUUAAGUGUAUUAAACUUGAAUUUUUUUGCGCAUUUUAGAUGUACAUAAAUUAUUUUUUUUAUUUGUCUGUCUUAAUGCUCAAAAUCCUAUUAGAUGCGACCCUAUCGUGUGGUUUCGUGUCUAUAA
RNAcentral lists this unclassified non-coding RNA (264 nucleotides) under Rhizophagus sp. (in: glomeromycetes). Its description in RNAcentral is "partial contains 5.8S ribosomal RNA and internal transcribed spacer 2". The record is from RNAcentral. Lineage: Eukaryota; Fungi; Glomeromycota; Glomeromycetes; Glomerales; Glomeraceae.